RNAcentral lists this ribosomal RNA (253 nucleotides) under uncultured bacterium. RNAcentral's name for it is "partial 16S ribosomal RNA". It matches the Rfam family "Bacterial small subunit ribosomal RNA", at positions 524 to 776 of the family's 1533-position model. The record is from RNAcentral.
UACAGAGGGGGCAAGCGUUGUUCGGAAUCACUAGGCGUAAAGCGCAGGUAGGCGGUUUGGUAAGUCUUUUGUGAAAGCUCCCGGCUCAACUGGGAGAGGCCAAGGGAAACUACCGGACUAGAGUGUGGUAGGGGAUACUGGAAUUCCUGGUGUAGCGGUGAAAUGCGUAGAUAUCGGGAAGAACAUCGGUGGCGAAGGCGGUCUGCUGGGCCGUUGCUGACGCUGAGGCGCGACAGCGUGGGGAGCAAACAGG